RNAcentral lists this ribosomal RNA (406 nucleotides) under uncultured bacterium. RNAcentral describes it as "bacterial SSU rRNA". It matches the Rfam family "Bacterial small subunit ribosomal RNA", at positions 28 to 434 of the family's 1533-position model. The record is from RNAcentral.
GACGAACGCUGGCGGCAUGCUUAACACAUGCAAGUGGAGCGACGAACCUUUUAGGGGCAAGCCGCGAACGGGUGGAGUAACACGUGGGCAAUCUGCCCAGUUGACUGGAAUAACUCUCCGAAAGGAGAGCUAAUACCGGAUGUGCCGUACCUACACAAGUAGGUCCGGUAAGGUAGCUUCGGCUAUCCGCAAUUGGAGGAGCCUGCGGCGCAUUAGCUAGUUGGUGGGGUAAAGGCCUACCAAGGCGACGAUGCGUAGCUGGUCUGAGAGGACGAUCAGCCACACUGGAACUGAGACACGGUCCAGACUCCUACGGGAGGCAGCAGUGGGGAAGUCUUGCACAAUGGGCGACAGCCUGAUGCAGCAAUGCCGCGUGAGGGAAGACGGCCUUCGGUUGGUAACCUAC